GGAGCAAUCUGAGGUGGCGACCGGCGCACGGGUGAGUAACACGUAUGCAACCUGCCUGUAAGCGGGGAAUAACCCGUUGAAAGACGGACUAAUACCGCAUAAUACUAAAUUACUGCAUGGUAAUUUAUUUAAACAUUUAUGGCUUACAGAUGGGCAUGCGCAUGAUUAGCUAGUUGGAGAGGUAACGGCUCCCCAAGGCAACGAUCAUUAGGGGUUCUGAGAGGAAGGUCCCCCCACACUGGUACUGAGACACGGACCAGACUCCUACGGGAGGCAGCAGUGAGGAAUAUUGGUCAAUGGACGAGAGUCUGAACCAGCCAAGUCGCGUGCAGGAAGAAUUGUCCUAUGGAUUGUAAACUGCUUUUGCAGGGGAAUAAAGUGCAUCACGUGUGAUGUUUUGUAUGUACUCUGCGAAUAAGGAUCGGCUAACUCCGUGCCAGCCGCCGC
This 447-nucleotide ribosomal RNA is filed under the name uncultured bacterium. RNAcentral's name for it is "bacterial SSU rRNA". It matches the Rfam family "Bacterial small subunit ribosomal RNA", at positions 76 to 518 of the family's 1533-position model. The record is from RNAcentral.